UACAGAGGUGGCAAGCGUUGUUCGGAAUUACUGGGCGUAAAGGGCGCGUAGGCGGCCUACUAAGUCAGACGUGAAAUCCCCCGGCUUAACCUGGGAACUGCGUCUGAUACUGGAAGGCUUGAGGAUGGGAGAGGGAUGUAGAAUUCCAGGUGUAGCGGUGAAAUGCGUAGAUAUCUGGAGGAAUACCGGUGGCGAAGGCGGCAUCCUGGACCAUUCCUGACGCUGAGGCGCGAAAGCUAGGGGAGCAAACGGG
This 253-nucleotide ribosomal RNA is filed under the name uncultured bacterium. RNAcentral's name for it is "partial 16S ribosomal RNA". It matches the Rfam family "Bacterial small subunit ribosomal RNA", at positions 524 to 776 of the family's 1533-position model. The record is from RNAcentral.